This 1429-nucleotide ribosomal RNA is filed under the name uncultured organism. Its description in RNAcentral is "16S ribosomal RNA". It matches the Rfam family "Bacterial small subunit ribosomal RNA". The record is from RNAcentral.
AACACAUGCAAGUCGAACGGAAAGGCCCUGCUUUUGUGGGGUGCUCGAGUGGCGAACGGGUGAGUAACACGUGAGUAACCUGCCCUUGACUUUGGGAUAACUUCAGGAAACUGGGGCUAAUACCGGAUAGGAGCUCCUGCUGCAUGGUGGGGGUUGGAAAGUUUCGGCGGUUGGGGAUGGACUCGCGGCUUAUCAGCUUGUUGGUGGGGUAGUGGCUUACCAAGGCUUUGACGGGUAGCCGGCCUGAGAGGGUGACCGGCCACAUUGGGACUGAGAUACGGCCCAGACUCCUACGGGAGGCAGCAGUGGGGAAUAUUGCACAAUGGGCGGAAGCCUGAUGCAGCAACGCCGCGUGCGGGAUGACGGCCUUCGGGUUGUAAACCGCUUUCGCCUGUGACGAAGCGUGAGUGACGGUAAUGGGUAAAGAAGCACCGGCUAACUACGUGCCAGCAGCCGCGGUGAUACGUAGGGUGCGAGCGUUGUCCGGAUUUAUUGGGCGUAAAGGGCUCGUAGGUGGUUGAUCGCGUCGGAAGUGUAAUCUUGGGGCUUAACCCUGAGCGUGCUUUCGAUACGGGUUGACUUGAGGAAGGUAGGGGAGAAUGGAAUUCCUGGUGGAGCGGUGGAAUGCGCAGAUAUCAGGAGGAACACCAGUGGCGAAGGCGGUUCUCUGGGCCUUUCCUGACGCUGAGGAGCGAAAGCGUGGGGAGCGAACAGGCUUAGAUACCCUGGUAGUCCACGCUGUAAACGGUGGGUACUAGGUGUGGGGUCCAUUCCACGGGUUCCGUGCCGUAGCUAACGCUUUAAGUACCCCGCCUGGGGAGUACGGCCGCAAGGCUAAAACUCAAAGGAAUUGACGGGGCCCCGCACAAGCGGCGGAGCAUGCGGAUUAAUUCGAUGCAACGCGUAGAACCUUACCUGGGUUUGACAUGGAUCGGGAGUGCUCAGAGAUGGGUGUGCCUCUUUUGGGGUCGGUUCACAGGUGGUGCAUGGCUGUCGUCAGCUCGUGUCGUGAGAUGUUGGGUUAAGUCCCGCAACGAGCGCAACCCUUGUUCACUGUUGCCAGCACGUUAUGGUGGGGACUCAGUGGAGACCGCCGGGGUCAACUCGGAGGAAGGUGGGGAUGACGUCAAGUCAUCAUGCCCCUUAUGUCCAGGGCUUCACGCAUGCUACAAUGGCUGGUACAGAGAGUGGCGAGCCUGUGAGGGUGAGCGAAUCUCGGAAAGCCGGUCUCAGUUCGGAUUGGGGUCUGCAACUCGACCUCAUGAAGUCGGAGUCGCUAGUAAUCGCAGAUCAGCAACGCUGCGGUGAAUACGUUCCCGGGGCUUGUACACACCGCCCGUCAAGUCAUGAAAGUUGGUAACACCCGAAGCCGGUGGCCUAACCGUUGUGGGGGAGCCGUCGAAGGUGGGACUGGUGAUUAGGACUAAGU